Molecule: transfer RNA, 72 nt
Filed under: Trichobilharzia regenti
Lineage: Eukaryota; Metazoa; Platyhelminthes; Trematoda; Strigeidida; Schistosomatidae
Rfam family: tRNA
About the family: Transfer RNA (tRNA) molecules are approximately 80 nucleotides in length. Their secondary structure includes four short double-helical elements and three loops (D, anti-codon, and T loops).
Source: Rfam by way of RNAcentral
GCGUCGGUGGCACAGAGGUAGAGUGCUCGCCUACCACGCAAGUGGUCCAGAGUUCGAUCCCCCGCCGACGCA